Molecule: long non-coding RNA, 1041 nt
Filed under: Apteryx haastii (Great spotted kiwi)
Lineage: Eukaryota; Metazoa; Chordata; Aves; Apterygiformes; Apterygidae
Description: lncRNA (ENSAHAG00000007984.1)
Source: RNAcentral
GCCGCUCCGCUAGCGGCUCCGGUGGGGCUCCGGGGCACCCUGGCACCCCCCCGCCGCCCCACCGGGGCGCUCAGCCUGCCCCUCGCCCUGGCAGGGGCUGCACCUUGCUCGGGGGGGGUCCCCGCUCCUCGCCCAGCUCCCGCCACCCCCGGCCCCGCGCGCACUCACGAGCAUCUCCCGGCGCCUCCGGGCCGUCUCGUGCCGCCACAUCUUGAGGCAGACAAGGCUGGCGGCCAGGUAGAGCAGCGCGGUGAUGAAGAGGAAGACGAGGGCGGCCGCCUGGCCCCCGGCCACGCGGCAGAAGACGCCGAGGAGGGGGCCGCCGGCGAGGGGGGAGUAGCACAGCCCCCCGAGGGUGACGGUGUUGACGUAUGCCGCCGCCGCCGCCAGGUACAGCAGGAACAGGAGCGCGUUGAGGGCCGCCUCCGUGGGCGGCCACCAGCCCGCAUCCAGGAGGAUGCUCCGGUAGUAGGUGGUGGCCCCGAGCCCCAGCAGGAUGGCGCUGAGCAGCCAGGCCAGGCUGGCCACCACCAGCACGAAGGGGGUCAGCGGGCCGGCGUAGCGGGUCCCGUCGGCCAGCAGCUCGCUGCCGUACCACCGGUAGUCCCGCUGCACGUAGGCGCACACGCAGGCGAAGACCAUCCCUCCGAAGAGCAGCUGCAGCCCCCCCAGCACCCGCAGCAGCCCCGGCCAGGACUUCAUGUAGGCGUACUUGAGGCCGUACGCCUCCAGCCRGCCCGCGGCGUCGGGGAGGGCAGCCGGGCGGCCGCGGGGCACCGACGGCUCCAGCCCCGUCUCCAGCCCCUGCUCUGUCUCCAUUCCCUGCUCGCCUGCGGGGCCGGAGCCGGAAGCGCCCUGCGGGUGGCCGGAGCUGCUGUGCCGGUCUGGCCCGCGGUGCUCCAGCGAGGCACGUUGGGGUGGGCAGCGCGGCACGGCCCCCCCCCCCCAGCGGCGCAGCCAACUCUUCCACGCGGGGCAAUCGGAGCGGCUUUCGGUAGGGCGGGAGGUGGCCGAGGGCCAGGAGCUCAGCGCCCUGGCGAG